RNAcentral lists this ribosomal RNA (377 nucleotides) under uncultured bacterium. RNAcentral's name for it is "bacterial SSU rRNA". It matches the Rfam family "Bacterial small subunit ribosomal RNA", at positions 29 to 407 of the family's 1533-position model. The record is from RNAcentral.
AUUGAACGCUGGCGGCGUGCCUAACACAUGCAAGUCGAGCGGUAACGCGGGAGCAAUCCUGGCGACGAGCGGCGAACGGGUGAGUAAUGCUUCGGAAUCUGCCCAAUGGUGGGGAAUAACCAGCCGAAAGGUUGGCUAAUACCGCAUAAGUCCUAAGGGAGAAAGCGGGGGAUCGUAAGACCUCGCGCCGAUGGAUGAGCCGAAGUCGGAUUAGCUAGUUGGUAGGGUAACGGCCUACCAAGGCGACAAUCCGUAGCUGGUCUGAGAGGACGACCAGCCACACUGGGACUGAGACACGGCCCAGACUCCUACGGGAGGCAGCAGUGGGGAAUAUUGGACAAUGGGGGAAACCCUGAUCCAGCGACGCCGCGUGUGUG